Long non-coding RNA from Vidua macroura (Pin-tailed whydah), 671 nucleotides. RefSeq lists it as uncharacterized. The transcript is spliced from 4 exons. NCBI's taxonomy places the organism in Eukaryota, Metazoa, Chordata, Aves, Passeriformes, Viduidae. The record is from RefSeq and is a predicted model, not a curated record.
AAGUCAGUGGUGGUGUAGAUGGUGAUGACAGCUCAUACAGAAAUGCUGCUAGAUUUCUAACCAUUGCCUCGGAACACUGAUUUCAAACUGCAGUGCUAUAAUGACAGCAUAAAUGAAGCCUCCAGAAAGAGACCCAAAUCUGUACCAAGUGCCCAGGCCCAUUUGAACACCAAAGACUUGAACAGCAAUAAGGAGAAUUUACCCUUGUUAGAGGUCACACCAAAAGUUAAAUUUAUUCAAUUCUUCACUUCCCCAAGGUGGAUUUUUCCUUCAUUCAAUUUUUACAAAUUAUGUCAACCACAUACAGGAUUUUUUAAAAAAAUAUAAACUAAGUACACUUUUGUUGCCUUCAAGGGGUUGUUCCCAAAUUACAUUGGUGUCAUGCUGGAAUGAGAUCAUCUCAGUUCAACCACCACUCAAAACAUCACUCUUACCCACAAAACUGGCUUCUACCACUCUCAAAGGUACAAAAGGUUAAAGUCAGUGAGCAAAAACCACGUGCAUUUGGUGGACGGUGGUUCUGCAAAGAUGACUGACGGAAGAAAGGCGAAAAGUACAAGUACAGCAGCAUGGCACAGCAGAAACCAGCUCAUUGGAGAUGGCAGAUGGACAGAACACUAUUAGUUAUGAUUAAUUUUACUUUUUUUUUUCCAUUAUUUUGUUCAUUAAAG